CGUUCUGUCCUGUUCGACCUUACUCCUGCGAAACGGGUCAGGCCUUGAUCGGAGCAGCCCUAAACAGGAAUUAAGGUGCUUGCAGGGGUGCGGAACCGA
RNAcentral lists this signal recognition particle RNA (99 nucleotides) under Candidatus Pacearchaeota archaeon. RNAcentral's name for it is "signal recognition particle sRNA small type". It matches the Rfam family "Bacterial small signal recognition particle RNA". From Rfam's summary of the family: The signal recognition particle (SRP) is a universally conserved ribonucleoprotein involved in the co-translational targeting of proteins to membranes. Archaeal SRP consists of a 7S RNA and homologues of the eukaryotic SRP19 and SRP54 proteins. The record is from RNAcentral. Lineage: Archaea; Nanobdellati.